UCCUCUUGGUACACAGCUCCUCUCGGGCUCC
RNAcentral lists this non-coding RNA (31 nucleotides) under Homo sapiens (human). The record is from RNAcentral. Lineage: Eukaryota; Metazoa; Chordata; Mammalia; Primates; Hominidae.